AUUGAACGCUGGCGGCAGGCCUAACACAUGCAAGUCGAACGAGUGGCGGACGGGUGAGUCAUGUCUGGGAAACUGCCCGAUGGAGGGGGAUAACUACUGGAAACGGUAGCUAAUACCGCAUACCAUCGGAUGUGCCCAGAUGGGAUUAGUUAGUAGGUGGGGUAACGGCUCACCUAGGCGACGAUCCCUAGCGGGUCUGAGAGGAUGACCAGCCACACGGGAACUGGGACAGGGUCCAGACUCCUACGGGAGGCAGCAGGGGGGAAUAUUGCACAAUGGGCGCAAGCCUGAUGCAGCAAUGCCGCGUGUAUGAAGAGGGCCUUCGGGUUGUAAAGUACUUUCAGCGAGGAGGCGGUACUCGCAGAAGAAGCACCGGCUAACUCCGUGCCAGCAGCCGCGGUAAUAC
This 406-nucleotide ribosomal RNA is filed under the name uncultured bacterium. RNAcentral describes it as "partial 16S ribosomal RNA". It matches the Rfam family "Bacterial small subunit ribosomal RNA", at positions 29 to 526 of the family's 1533-position model. The record is from RNAcentral.